GACGAACGCUGGCGGCGUGCUUAACACAUGCAAGUCGUACGGUAAGGCCCUUUCGGGGGUACACGAGUGGCGAACGGGUGAGUAACACGUGAGUAACCUGCCCACAACUUUGGGAUAACGCUAAGAAACUGGUGCUAAUACUGGAUAUGUGCUCCUGCUGCAUGGUGGGGGUUGGAAAGCUCCGGCGGUUGUGGAUGGACUCGCGGCCUAUCAGCUUGUUGGUGGGGUAGUGGCCUACCAAGGCGGCGACGGGUAGCCGGCCUGAGAGGGUGACCGGCCACAUUGGGACUGAGAUACGGCCCAGACUCCUACGGGAGGCAGCAGUGGGGAAUAUUGCACAAUGGGCGCAAGCCUGAUGCAGCAACGCCGCGUGCGGGAUGACGGCCUUCGGGUUGUAAACCGCUUUCAGCAGGGACGAAGCUUUUUGUGACGGUACCUGCAGAAGAAGCACCGGCUAACUACGUG
RNAcentral lists this ribosomal RNA (465 nucleotides) under uncultured bacterium. RNAcentral describes it as "partial 16S ribosomal RNA". It matches the Rfam family "Bacterial small subunit ribosomal RNA", at positions 28 to 507 of the family's 1533-position model. The record is from RNAcentral.